GAACGCGAAGAACCUUACCUGGUCUUGACAUCCACGGAAGUUUUCAGAGAUGAGAAUGUGCCUUCGGGAACCGUGAGACAGGUGCUGCAUGGCUGUCGUCAGCUCGUGUUGUGAAAUGUUGGGUUAAGUCCCGCAACGAGCGCAACCCUUAUCCUUUGUUGCCAGCGGUCCGGCCGGGAACUCAAAGGAGACUGCCAGUGAUAAACUGGAGGAAGGUGGGGAUGACGUCAAGUCAUCAUGGCCCUUACGACCAGGGCUACACACGUGCUACAAUGGCGCAUACAAAGAGAAGCGACCUCGCGAGAGCAAGCGGACCUCAUAAAGUGCGUCGUAGUCCGGAUUGGAGUCUGCAACUCGACUCCAUGAAGUCGGAAUCGCUAGUAAUCGUGGAUCAGAAUGCCACGGUGAAUACGUUCCCGGGUCUUGUACACACC
This 434-nucleotide ribosomal RNA is filed under the name uncultured bacterium. RNAcentral describes it as "bacterial SSU rRNA". It matches the Rfam family "Bacterial small subunit ribosomal RNA", at positions 957 to 1391 of the family's 1533-position model. The record is from RNAcentral.